RNAcentral lists this ribosomal RNA (403 nucleotides) under uncultured Blastocladiomycota. Its description in RNAcentral is "partial small subunit ribosomal RNA". It matches the Rfam family "Eukaryotic small subunit ribosomal RNA", at positions 30 to 432 of the family's 1831-position model. The record is from RNAcentral. Lineage: Eukaryota; Fungi; Blastocladiomycota.
GCUUGUCUCAAAGAUUAAGCCAUGCAUGUCUAAGUAUAAACACCUUUAUACUGUGAAACUGCGUACAGCUCAUUAAAUCAGUAAUAAUUUAUUUGAUGGUGACUUACUACAUGGAUAACCGUAGUAACCUAGAGCUAAUACAUGCACAAAAUCCCGACUUCACGGAAGGGAUGUAUUUAUUAGAUAAAAAACCAAUCCGGGCAACCGGUCCUUUGGUGAUUCAUGAUAACUUUGCGAAUCGCAUAGCUUUAAUGCUGGCGAUGGGUCAUUCAAAUUUCUGCCCUAUCAACUUUCGACGGUAGGAUAGAGGCCUACUGUGGUGAUAACGGGUAACGAAGAAUAAGGGUUCGAUUUCGGAGAGGGAGCCUGAGAAACGGCUACCACAUCCAAGGAAGGCAGCAGG